CUUCCCAGAUGAGGACUGAGUCACCGAUCUCUGGGUACAACAGUAAGUCCUUGCGAAGGAUUCAGUACUUUGUUAUACUGGAUGCUCAUUGACAAGGCUAGGAUGGAUGGCCUGUCUCCUCCCCAGGACUGGACUUACAGAUCAAGAUGUGAGCUCUUGGCUACUGCUCCAGUGCCUGCCUACCUACUGCCAUGUUCCCCAUCAUGAUGGUUGUAGACACACUCUGAAAUUGUGAGCCCCAAAUAAAUUCUUUCUUCUAUAAGUUGCCUUGGUCAUGGCGUCUUUCUACAACAAUACAAAAGUAUCUAAGACAGGCCCACCAGGUCAUGGGCUGGUGGGGGCAGGUCCUCUGCCUGGCCUGUAGGCAGAGGGGUUCUACUUAGGACCCCUGUGGGGUUUCAGGAGAACAGAAACCUUCUGGCAGACAGGGCAUCUUCGUUCCCCCAAUAGCCUUCCUAGGGGCCUGCCUGAUUCCCACAGGUCCCUUAAUAAGCCCCUGCUCAAAACCAUGACUUUCUUUUUUUUUUUUUUUUUGGUUCUUUUUUUCGGAGCUGGGGGGCCGAACCCAGGGCCUUGCGCUUCCUAGGUAAGCGCUCUACCACUGAGCUAAAUCCCCAGCACAAAACCAUGACUUUCAAGUCCAAAAUUCUCCUUGGUCUCCAUGGUAACAGUUUGAGUUGACCUUUGCCACCUGCCCAUUUCGCAGGAGAAAACCCCAGACUCAAGGGGACUGCAGUUCGUUUGUGUCUUGGUGAGGCUGUGUUACUCACCAAGAAACUCCCUGGUGGGCUCCCGGACCUGUAGCCUUUCCUUCAUCAUGUGAAGGAGCAGCACCGGGACUUUCGGCUGGAGCUGCCAUAAUUUGUUUUGCUUCAGAAGCAAAAAUGUAAUUCCCCAGAGUUUGUGAAGCCUUCAGCCCAAUUGCAGCUUCUGAGGGAGAGAGGAAGGCACAGGGGAAGGCAUUUCACUCGAGGGUGGGAGAAACUCCAACAAAGCCCUAGGAUGAGCAGUGCCCCUCCAGCCGCUCCAAGAAUCAUCAGUGUCCACAGAGACCCCGACACUGGGCUGGAGGACACCAGGGACCGCUCGGCCAUGGUGUGGCCUCCAGUGUGCCCCUCCCUUGUGGAAGCACAGGUGUCCUUCCCCUUGCAGGGUGAGCUCCCUGGCCCACGGCCAGGAAACAGUUCCGAGAAGUGUGCCCAGCCUUGUCCUCAUUACCUCUUAACCUUCCUAGCACAUCAAAAACCCAAGCAAGUAAUGUGCAUAGAUUGGACCUGGCUUCAGAAUUCAGGACUGGGCCAUCGAUGUCAACUAGAACUUUGCUAGUCAAAGGAUGGCUGGGAUUGGCAUGUGCUAGGAGCAGUUAGAAAGUCAGGCUCAAGAGGGCUGGGGGAUGUAGCUCAGUGGGUAGAAUGUCUGUCUAGCAAGCACAAGGCUUUGAUCCCCUGCACUGCAUGGAACCAGACAUAAGUGUUGUACAGCUCUAAUCCCAACAUGCCACAGGUAGACACAAGAUGAAGAGUUCAAGGCCAACGUGGGCUACCAGAGACCCUGCCCCCCAAAUCAAAAUGAAAAGGCAGAAAAGCAAUCUCAGGGCCCAGCCUUGCCGAGUGGGAACCUCCACCCAACCGAGAGGUUGAGACUCUCCUAGUCUCUGUUCUGUCAGCAGCUCAGAGUGGGGCUCUCCACGUCUUCCCUCCCCACAGAGAGAACAGGGCAGUGGUGGCCGUGCCUUUGAGCUCUCAUCCAUCCCGGGCCUCGAACCCAUCUGCCAGCACCCUGUGCACCUCAGCAUACAUGGGGCUGGUGUUGGCUGAGUGACUGAGAGAAGAUGCUGUGUUUAUGGUCUUCCUUGAGCCCAGUCACCUUGUCACCUUCAGCCAGAGCCACCCCUGUCCUCUGGGUGGAGACAAGUUCCCUCUUCUGCCAUUGCUGCCCUUGCAGACAGGUCAGUGUCAUUAGUGAGACAAUGGAAGCAGAGGUCUCCUGCCUGAAGGUCCAGGGGACCUGGAUUUGUGGUCAGGCAGACAUGCUACCCUGGCCGACCAAAACCUGCCUGAUGCCCCAGGUCAUCAUCUCCUUGUCUGUGGAGAUUCAGGGAAUGACCCCUAGGAGUCAACCUGGCCUCCUUGUGUCUGUCACACCAAGUGAAGUAAGUGUCCUCUUCAUCCCCACAUGGCCUUGGCUUCUCUUCUGGACUGUACUCGCCUCAUUAUGGUCUCCCUGCCUUCUCUCCCUUCCCCCUACCUCCAUACCUUCCAGCACCUUCCUAAGUACAAACCUGGCUCCUUGGGCCCCUGCUAAUCACUACCCUCACCCC
This is a non-coding RNA of Rattus norvegicus (Norway rat), 2320 nucleotides long. The record is from RefSeq and is a predicted model, not a curated record. Lineage: Eukaryota; Metazoa; Chordata; Mammalia; Rodentia; Muridae.